AAUAAAAGAUUAUAGCCAUUGACUAAUAUACAGUUCACUUCUAAAUCAUAUGUUGAGCUCUUACACCUUAGUGGCUCAAGAGUCAAGACAACAACAAUGUUCAAUGCAUAAUGUAGUCACAUAAAAUCCAUAACAUGCAAAAAUAUGUCAAUGACAGUUAAUCAAAUACCUAUGAACCAUUAUACUAUUUAAAUCUGACUCCACAGUAUCCAUAUCAGUAGGCCAAAAGGUAAAGACAACAAGCAGCAACCGAAUAUGUGGCAGAUUCAAACAAUACAUAAGGUUAGACUACACCAUAAUCCUAACUGCAAGUGUUUUAAAUAAUUGCAGUCCAUAACCACAAUUACUUCCUUAACAAUGUUGAAAAGUACACAACUACCGUAUUUAUUCACGACUGCAUUUUUCCACAAUUGUUUUCACUUUCGGUAUUUGAAAUGUAACCACAGUUUGCAACUGCACCGCUACUUGAAACCAUUUUGAAUCCAGGAAUCUAUUCUAGUAUAGCUGAAUUCAUGCAAUAGAUUAUUAGACUACAACAAACAUGGCGAGAGAAAUUACUAUCACAAAAAAGUAUUCAUGCCCAUAAGUGCAAGCUAAAAUCAACUUUCACAUGAAUUACUAGACAAUUAUUAAGACUUAUAUACAUCGCGAUUUUGAAAAAGGUUAUAAAAUUUAAAAACAAAACCAACAGUUGUGUAAGUAGGAAAUGCAAAACGUUAACUAAACUAUCUCAAACUAGCUCCAAUCAAGUCCUGAACAAGUAUUCAAAUCGAAUAUGGAACACGAUAACAAAUUAAGGNNNNNNNNNNNNNNNNNNNNNAUAAGAUGACUCCUCCUUAAAACGUUUUAUACACGUAUCAAGAAACACCUGCUCAGACACUACAAACGGAUAAGUUAAGCUUGCAUCCUUUUUUCGCAAACCUUUCUUCAACAGAAAUUGCACAACUGAGGCUCUCGGAAUGAUCCUUUUUUCCAAACUAUUUGAAAAAAUCGCCGGUCCUUUUANNNNNNNNNNNNNNNNNNNNNNNNNNAAAAGCUCAUCACUAAAUUAAUUUUAUCAAUGGAUGCCAACAUACAAUGAGGCAUCUUUUUAAAUGCUUCUCGAACAUCUUCAUCAGACCACCCCCACUUCUUAAAGGCAUUGACUUUUUCUUUCCACAGUGUUUUGCUUACAGUUAGCUUGGCUUUCAAUGCUAUACCAAAGGAUAUUCUUGAAGGAUUAAUACCCAAAUCCUUCAAUUCCUCAAUCGACUAAAGCAUGCAAGGUGAAUCUGUAUUCAAUGUCCGAGACUGCCUCCGAAGCAAUCUUGCAAUGGUUGAGUCUGUAACUCCAUUCUCAAUCAGCAUUGUGAUGUUAUGUGGCACACGACAGUCGCAAAGUAAAGCUGGAAAUUGUAUUGCACUAGCAAUAAUGCCCUUGUCUGAUUGCAACAAUCUAUAAACCAAUUCAUAGGUUGGGACUUAGAAGCACCUUUGGAGAGUAAAAAUUGAAACUUUGGCAACACCCUUAUGGAGGGGUUGCAGGAAAGUAGCCCUGGUACCUUUGCAACGAUAUCGCGAAGUUGGGAGUUAGAGAAACUAUUAAAGAAUGUGAGAACAGAAUCAGGUUUUUGGGCAGUCUUGAAAGUAACAUUGUAAGUGGAACAAAGUUUGGAAGCAGAUUGUGGGGAAAACCCAAACAAAAUUGUUGAUGAGAUAGGAAACUGCAAAAGAGGUUGAAUCUGAAGUGUUGGUAGAAAAAUGUACAGAAAAUGGUGAUGGGUAUUGGUUAGGUUUUGGUGGGAAAGUUAGGUUUUUGAGAUAGAGAAAAGAUCUAUUAAGCGAAAUCAAACGAAACAAUGCAUGAAUGAAUGAAAGAAUGAAUAAAACCAAAACUAAAU
Molecule: long non-coding RNA, 1880 nt
Filed under: Trifolium pratense (red clover)
Lineage: Eukaryota; Viridiplantae; Streptophyta; Magnoliopsida; Fabales; Fabaceae
Description: long non-coding RNA (TPRA_LNC012963)
Source: RNAcentral